RNAcentral lists this ribosomal RNA (1005 nucleotides) under Salmonella enterica subsp. enterica serovar Enteritidis. Its description in RNAcentral is "partial 23S ribosomal RNA". It matches the Rfam family "Bacterial large subunit ribosomal RNA", at positions 149 to 1192 of the family's 2925-position model. The record is from RNAcentral. Lineage: Bacteria; Pseudomonadati; Pseudomonadota; Gammaproteobacteria; Enterobacterales; Enterobacteriaceae.
UAUCAUUAACUGAAUCCAUAGGUUAAUGAGGCGAACCGGGGGAACUGAAACAUCUAAGUACCCCGAGGAAAAGAAAUCAACCGAGAUUCCCCCAGUAGCGGCGAGCGAACGGGGAGGAGCCCAGAGCCUGAAUCAGCAUGUGUGUUAGUGGAAGCGUCUGGAAAGGCGCGCGAUACAGGGUGACAGCCCCGUACACAAAAGCGCAUGUGCUGUGAGCUCGAUGAGUAGGGCGGGACACGUGGUAUCCUGUCUGAAUAUGGGGGGACCAUCCUCCAAGGCUAAAUACUCCUGACUGACCGAUAGUGAACCAGUACCGUGAGGGAAAGGCGAAAAGAACCCCGGCGAGGGGAGUGAAAAAGAACCUGAAACCGUGUACGUACAAGCAGUGGGAGCACAGGUUUACCUGUGUGACUGCGUACCUUUUGUAUAAUGGGUCAGCGACUUAUAUUCUGUAGCAAGGUUAACCGAAUAGGGGAGCCGGAGGGAAACCGAGUCUUAAUUGGGCGUUAAGUUGCAGGGUAUAGACCCGAAACCCGGUGAUCUAGCCAUGGGCAGGUUGAAGGUUGGGUAACACUAACUGGAGGACCGAACCGACUAAUGUUGAAAAAUUAGCGGAUGACCUGUGGCUGGGGGUGAAAGGCCAAUCAAACCGGGAGAUAGCUGGUUCUCCCCGAAAGCUAUUUAGGUAGCGCCUCGUGAAUUCAUCUCCGGGGGUAGAGCACUGUUUCGGCUAGGGGGCCAUCCCGGCUUACCAACCCGAUGCAAACUGCGAAUACCGGAGAAUGUUAUCACGGGAGACACACGGCGGGUGCUAACGUCCGUCGUGAAGAGGGAAACAACCCAGACCGCCAGCUAAGGUCCCAAAGUCAUGGUUAAGUGGGAAACGAUGUGGGAAGGCCCAGACAGCCAGGAUGUUGGCUUAGAAGCAGCCAUCAUUUAAAGAAAGCGUAAUAGCUCACUGGUCGAGUCGGCCUGCGCGGAAGAUGUAACGGGGCUAAACCAUGC